This is a long non-coding RNA of Camelus dromedarius (Arabian camel), 397 nucleotides long. RefSeq annotates it as SEC61 translocon subunit gamma. The transcript has 4 exons. The record is from RefSeq and is a predicted model, not a curated record. Lineage: Eukaryota; Metazoa; Chordata; Mammalia; Artiodactyla; Camelidae.
GGGUCGUAGCCGGUCCCGGCUUCCGGUUCCGGCGCGCGGUCCCCUGUGCGGCGGCUCCUGUGCUACGUGUCACUGGAGUUCAGGCCGACGGCGGGCAGCAGGCAUCAUGGAUCAGGUGAUGCAGUUCGUGGAGCCGAGUCGGCAGUUCGUGAAGGACUCCAUUCGGCUGGUUAAGAGAUGCACGAAACCGGAUAGAAAAGAAUUCCAGAAGAUUGCCAUGGCAACAGCAAUAGGAUUUGCUAUAAUGGGAUUCAUCGGAUUUUUUGUGAAACUGAUCCAUAUUCCUAUUAAUAACAUCAUUGUUGGUGGCUGAAGACCUUUUUUGAAAAGUAUGUUUUGGGGAUUCGUGAACAAAUGAGGAUUUGAGAAGCUCAUGGAGUAAAAAUUUGCCCGUAAA